This 150-nucleotide ribosomal RNA is filed under the name uncultured bacterium. RNAcentral describes it as "partial 16S ribosomal RNA". It matches the Rfam family "Bacterial small subunit ribosomal RNA", at positions 1110 to 1260 of the family's 1533-position model. The record is from RNAcentral.
AUUAGUUGCCAGCAUUAAGUUGGGCACUCUAAUGAGACUGCCGGUGACAAACCGGAGGAAGGUGGGGAUGACGUCAARUCAUCAUGCCCCUUAUGACCUGGGCUACACACGUGCUACAAUGGACGGUACAACGAGANAGCGAACCUGCGA